Molecule: ribosomal RNA, 72 nt
Filed under: Thermococcus sp. 9N3
Lineage: Archaea; Methanobacteriati; Methanobacteriota; Thermococci; Thermococcales; Thermococcaceae
Source: RNAcentral
CACGGCGGCCAUAGCGGCGGGGUUACACCCGGUCUCGUUUCGACCCCGGAAGUUAAGCCCGCCUGCGUUCCC